GACGACUGGGUUGAUAGGCCAGAUGUGGAAGCCCGGUAACGGGUGGAGCUGACUGGUACUAAUAGGCCGAGGGCUUGUCCU
RNAcentral lists this ribosomal RNA (81 nucleotides) under Streptomyces sp. DvalAA-21. RNAcentral's name for it is "partial 23S ribosomal RNA". It matches the Rfam family "Bacterial large subunit ribosomal RNA", at positions 2843 to 2925 of the family's 2925-position model. Lineage: Bacteria; Bacillati; Actinomycetota; Actinomycetes; Kitasatosporales; Streptomycetaceae. The record is from RNAcentral.